Molecule: ribosomal RNA, 253 nt
Filed under: uncultured bacterium
Lineage: Bacteria
Description: partial 16S ribosomal RNA
Rfam family: Bacterial small subunit ribosomal RNA
Source: RNAcentral
UACAGAGGGUGCGAGCGUUGUCCGGAAUCACUGGGCGUAAAGGGCGCGUAGGCGGCCUGAUAAGUAGGGGGUGAAAUCCUGUGGCUUAACUGCAGGGCUGCCUCCUAGACUGUUAGGCUCGAGCACGGUAGAGGCAGAUGGAAUUCCCGGUGUAGCGGUGGAAUGCGUAGAGAUCGGGAGGAACACCAGUGGCGAAGGCGGCUUCCUGGACACUAACUGACGCUGAGACGCGAAAGCGUGGGGAGCAAACAGG